UACGUAGGGCGCAAGCGUUGUCCGGAAUUAUUGGGCGUAAAGAGCUCGUAGGUGGCUUGUCACGUCGGGUGUGAAAGCUUGGGGCUUAACUCCAGGUCUGCAUUCGAUACGGGCUGGCUAGAGGUAGGUAGGGGAGAACGGAAUUCCUGGUGUAGCGGUGAAAUGCGCAGAUAUCGGGAGGAACACCGGUGGCGAAGGCGGUUCUCUGGGCCUGUACUGACGCUGAGGAGCGAAAGCGUGGGGAGCGAACAGG
This 253-nucleotide ribosomal RNA is filed under the name uncultured bacterium. RNAcentral describes it as "partial 16S ribosomal RNA". It matches the Rfam family "Bacterial small subunit ribosomal RNA", at positions 524 to 776 of the family's 1533-position model. The record is from RNAcentral.